This 538-nucleotide ribosomal RNA is filed under the name uncultured bacterium. RNAcentral's name for it is "bacterial SSU rRNA". It matches the Rfam family "Bacterial small subunit ribosomal RNA", at positions 775 to 1314 of the family's 1533-position model. The record is from RNAcentral.
AGAUAAUAGAUACCCAGGUAGUCCACGCCCUAAACGAUGUCAACUAGUUGUUGGGGAUUCAUUUCCUUAGUAAACGUAGCUAAACGCGUGAAGUUGACCGCCUGGGGAGUACGGUCGCAAGAUUAAAACUCAAAGGAAUUGACGGGGACCCGCACAAGCGGUGGAUGAUGUGGAUUAAUUCGAUGCAACGCGAAAAACCUUACCUACCCUUGACAUGGUCGGAAUCCUGCUGAGAGGCGGGAGUGCUCGAAAGAGAACCGGCGCACAGGUGCUGCAUGGCUGUCGUCAGCUCGUGUCGUGAGAUGUUGGGUUAAGUCCCGCAACGAGCGCAACCCUUGUCCUUAGUUGCUACGCAAGAGCACUCUAAGGAGACUGCCGGUGACAAACCGGAGGAAGGUGGGGAUGACGUCAAGUCCUCAUGGCCCUUAUGGGUAGGGCUUCACACGUCAUACAAUGGUCGGAACAGAGGGUUGCCAAGCCGCGAGGUGGAGCCAAUCCCAGAAAACCGAUCGUAGUCCGGAUCGCAGUCUGCAACUCG